UCGACGGCGGGGUUUCAAGACAAGUGCGAACGUCAUACAUCUUGUGGAGGAUUCAAUCGUCAUAUUUCCGGAUACUGAAAUGGAAUAUAAGUCACAUUUCAAAGUUCAACAUAUCCAGUUACUAGGAAGGAAGAAGACAACGGGAAAAGGAUUCUGUUUUAACAUUCCUGCUAUUUUUCUGCUCAUAGAGAAAAUAGAGGUCACAUUUCAAGGUUCAUCAUCACCGAGUUACUAGGAAGGAAGAAGACAAGAAAAGGAUUCUGUUUUUAUAUUCCUGCUUUUUAUCUGCUCAUAGAGAAAAUAGAGGUGAGACUACAUUCUCAUUUAAACUUCAAAAUAUAACUGAUCUUGUGAAAAGCGCUUGUAACCGUUUAUAAAAUGCAUAUGGUUGAAAGUAGAAUAUAAUAAUGCACAUUAUGCCCCGCGACUAACGGGACUAGCAAGCUUGUGGGGUCAAAUUUUGUACUCCACAAAAUGGUUGAACAUCUAACUUUGCAAAGUUAAAGGAAACCACACAAUUUGGAGGCAUAUUCUUGUGGCUCAUAAUAUUCUGCAUAUAAAAUAUCUUUCUUACCAUAUGCGUUUCAUUAAAAAAAAAAAAACUUUUUAUGCACCAAGUUGCCUUACCCAAGCAGCGUGUCCCUUUAAAGUAAACUUGAAACACUUUUUUUUCUGAUGGUCAAUUGAUAGCAACAGUUGAGUGUGAUAUUAAAGGC
Long non-coding RNA from Asterias rubens (European starfish), 716 nucleotides. RefSeq lists it as uncharacterized. Lineage: Eukaryota; Metazoa; Echinodermata; Asteroidea; Forcipulatida; Asteriidae. The record is from RefSeq and is a predicted model, not a curated record. The transcript has 3 exons.